GAUGAACGCUGGCGGCGUGCCUAAUACAUGCAAGUCGAGCGAACGGACGAGAAGCUUGCUUCUCUGAUUUUAUCGGCGGACGGGUGAUUAACACGUGGCUAACCUACCUAUAAGACUGGGGUAACUUUGGGAAACCGUAGCUACUACCGGAUAAUAUUUUGAACUUCAUUGUUCCAAAGUUAAAGACGGUCUUUCUGUCACUUAUAGAUUGAUCCGCGCUGCAUUAGCUAGUUGGUAAGGUGACUGCUUACCAAGGCAACGAUGCAUAGCCGACCUGAGAGGGUGAUCGGAAAGACUGGAACUGAGAAACGGUCCAGACUCCUGAGGGAGGAAGCAGUAGGGAAUCUUACGCAAUGGGCGAAAGCGUGACGGAGCAACGUGGCGGGAGGGAUGAAGGACUUCGGAUCGUAAAACGAUGAAAUUAGGGAGGAAGAAAUGCGUAAGUAACUGGGAAGAUAAUGACGGUACCUAAUGAGAAAGCCACGGCUAACUACGUG
Molecule: ribosomal RNA, 497 nt
Filed under: uncultured bacterium
Lineage: Bacteria
Description: partial 16S ribosomal RNA
Rfam family: Bacterial small subunit ribosomal RNA
Source: RNAcentral